AGGGUUUGAUUAUGGCUCAGGAUGAACGCUGGCGGCGCGCCUAACACAUGCAAGUCGAACGGCACCCCUCUCCGGAGGGAAGCGAGUGGCGAACGGCUGAGUAACACGUGGAGAACCUGCCCCCUCCCCCGGGAUAGCCGCCCGAAAGGACGGGUAAUACCGGAUACCCCCGGGCGCCGCAUGGCGCCCGGGCUAAAGCCCCGACGGGAGGGGAUGGCUCCGCGGCCCAUCAGGUAGACGGCGGGGUGACGGCCCACCGUGCCGACAACGGGUAGCCGGGUUGAGAGACCGACCGGCCAGAUUGGGACUGAGACACGGCCCAG
Molecule: ribosomal RNA, 323 nt
Filed under: uncultured bacterium
Lineage: Bacteria
Description: bacterial SSU rRNA
Rfam family: Bacterial small subunit ribosomal RNA
Source: RNAcentral